ACGGCUCAGUAACACGUGGAUAACCUGCCCUUAGGACUGGCAUAACCCCGGGAAACUGGGGAUAAUUCCGGAUAGUUCAUGGUAGCUGGAAUGCUCCAUGAUCGAAAGCUAUUGCGCCUAAGGAUGGGUCUGCGGUCUAUCAGGUAGUAGUGGGUGUAAUGUACCUACUAGCCGACGACGGAUACGGGUUGUGGGAGCAAGAGCCCGGAGAUGGAUUCUGAGACAUGAAUCCAGGCCCUACGGGGCGCAGCAGGCGCGAAAACUUUACAAUGCGGGAAACCGCGAUAAGGGGACACCGAGUGCCAGCAUCUUAUGUUGGCUGUCCGCAUGUAUAAAUCACAUGUGUUAGCAAGGGCCGGGCAAGACCGGUGCCAGCCGCCGCGGUAACACCGGCGGCCCGAGUGGUGGCCACUAUUAUUGGGUCUAAAGGGUCCGUAGCCGGUUUGGUCAGUCUUCCGGGAAAUCUGACGGCUUAACCGUUAGGCUUUCGGGGGAUACUACCAGGCUUGGGACCGGGAGAGGUAAGAGGUACUACGGGGGUAGGAGUGAAAUCUUGUAAUCCUCGUGGGACCACCAGUGGCGAAGGCGUCUUACCAGAACGGGUCCGACGGUGAGGGACGAAAGCUGGGGGCACGAACCGGAUUAGAUACCCGGGUAGUCCCAGCCGUAAACUAUGCUCGCUAGGUGUCAGGGACGGUGCGACCGUUUCUGGUGCCGCAGGGAAGCCGUGAAGCGAGCCACCUGGGAAGUACGGUCGCAAGGCUGAAACUUAAAGGAAUUGGCGGGGGAGCAC
Molecule: ribosomal RNA, 793 nt
Filed under: uncultured archaeon
Lineage: Archaea
Description: bacterial SSU rRNA
Rfam family: Archaeal small subunit ribosomal RNA
Source: RNAcentral